AGAGUUUGAUCAUGGCUCAGGAUGAACGCUAGCGGCAGGCCUAAUACAUGCAAGUCGAGGGGUAAGAGUCAGCUUGCUGACUACACGACCGGCGCACGGGUGCGUAACGCGUAUGCAACCUACCUUUAACAGAGGAAUAGCCCCGAGAAAUCGGGAUUAAUACCACAUAACAUUAUGAUAUGGCAUCAUAUUAUAAUUAAAACUCCGGUGGUUAAAGAUGGGCAUGCGUGACAUUAGCUAGUUGGUGAGGUAACUGCUCACCAAGGCUACGAUGUCUAGGGGUUCUGAGAGGAUGAUCCCCCACACUGGUACUGAGACACGGACCAGACUCCUACGGGAGGCAGCAGUAAGGAAUAUUGCGCAAUGGAGGCAACUCUGACGCAGCCAUGCCGCGUGCAGGAUUGAAGGCCUUAUGGGUCGUAAA
Molecule: ribosomal RNA, 424 nt
Filed under: uncultured marine bacterium
Lineage: Bacteria
Description: bacterial SSU rRNA
Rfam family: Bacterial small subunit ribosomal RNA
Source: RNAcentral